CCUACGGGAGGCAGCAGUGAGGAAUAUUGGUCAAUGGACGAGAGUCUGAACCAGCCAAGUAGCGUGAAGGAUGACUGCCCUAUGGGUUGUAAACUUCUUUUAUAUGGGAAUAAAAUGUUCCACGUGUGGGAUUUUGUAUGUACAAUAUGAAUAAGGAUCGGCUAACUCCGUGCCAGCAGCCGCGGUAAUACGGAGGAUCCGAGAGUUAUCCGGAUUUAUUGGGUUUAAAGGGAGCGUAGGUGGAUUGUUAAGUCAGUUGUGAAAGUUUGCGGCUCAACCGGAAAAUUGCAGUUGAAACUGGCAGUCUUGAGUACAGUAGAGGUGGGCGGAAUUCGUGGUGUAGCGGUGAAAUGCUUAGAUAUCACGAAGAACUCCGAUUGCGAAGGCAGUUCACUGGACUGCAACUGACACUGAGGCUCGAAAGUGUGGGUAUCAAACAGGAUUAGAUACCCCUGUAGUC
Molecule: ribosomal RNA, 460 nt
Filed under: uncultured bacterium
Lineage: Bacteria
Description: partial 16S ribosomal RNA
Rfam family: Bacterial small subunit ribosomal RNA
Source: RNAcentral